CCCUAUUUUUCUGGAAGAAAUGGGUUUCAUAAAAGGAGAAUUUAUAAUGAUCUAAUGCCUUGAAUUUCCAAGAGCAGAGAGAAAAUAACGACUUGCGUUGGGAAGAAGACAGAAUCAGUUAAAGAAUUCCUUAGCAAACUAUAUAGGGUGACUCAGGGUAUAAUCGGCAGGUUUGUUCUCUUCGUCAUGGGGGGUUUUUGUAGGGCGAAUUGCCUGAAAUUCGGGCAAUUAACUCAGCUUUGUUGGGAAGGAUUUGAGGCCAAUUCUGAGACCAACAGGUUUCAAAAAAAAACCCAUGACAAAGAGAACAAAACUGCCGAGAAUACGUCAGUUCCCCUACAACAAGAGAACACAAUAAUAAAAUAAAUAAGUAAAUAUUAUUCGUGUAUAUUUUCAGAAAAUGUUCCAUAAAUAGCAAUAAAUAUUGUCCAUGUUGAAGGACACUAUGCGAUUGCAAUGUAGCACGCAACAUUUCAUGCAGCAUUAUUUUACGAAACAUUGCAGGCUCGAUUGUAUGAAACAAAUACACUUUCACCCUAAAAUACUUCCACUCAGUGCCUGAGUUGUUCAUGCUCCAGCAAAGUUUGCCAAACAAGAUUUAUUUUGUUUGUUCUUGUGAUAUAUAUCAUAUGAGACAAAUCAUUAAGACAACACAAGACUUCAAGUAAGACAGACUAAAUCUAACUCGCAAUCAUUAAAACUAAAAAAAAAAAAUAUUUCAACGUGUUUGAAUUUUUCUUAGAACUUGCUCAUGCUCUGAGUAGCAAUUUUUUAUUGUAUGCGCGUUACCCAAAAAACUGCACGGAAAAAUGAAAAAUGCUCAAAAUUAAGAUUUCUUAAGGUGAUAUGGGAAGCCAUGUUAUUUUUGCUAUAGACGGGUGCACCGAUGAACAUUGAGUUCACUGAGCCUGAUAUUUUUUGACAGCACAGCGGGGUCAACUCUCAACAAAUUCUACUCAGAGAUGCAUCACCAAAAUGCGCUGAUAAUAUUUUUCUUUGAUUUCUUACAUGAAUUUACAUUUAAAGUGAUGCAUUUGCAGCUAUAGCACCGAGGAACCUUUUUUGCCUUUCUCGUACACUAAGUGUACUGGAAAGGCUAUAUGUUCACUCCAAAAAUGACUUUUUGAUAGAAGGCCCGGAGGGUCAAAUCACAUAUACCAAUCGACUCAGCUCGACGAAUUGAGGUGAUGUCUGUGUGUGUGUAUGUGUGUGUGUAUGUGUGUGCGUGUGUGUGUGUGUCUGUAUGUGUGUGUACAAAAAAACUCACAUCACUUUUUGACAGUAAACCUCAUCCGAUUUCAAUGACCGACGGUUCAUUCGACGCGGAAUCUGGUCCCAUUGUUUCCUAUUGAAAAUGGUUCGGAUCGGUUCAGCCGUUCCGGAGAUAUGGCCAUUUAGGUGUUCCGGAACGGUACCCCAGGAAGGGACCAGAUAUGAAAAUGCAUCAAACCUAUGCAUGCGACACAUCAAACCACGUCAUUUUCGAUAACCUGAUGAGCGGUAAGCAGAAAAAUAGUCUAAGACCAUAUCUGAACCGGUAGUGUUCCGGAACCGGUUCCGGGUGUCCCGCCGGAAGUGGCAAAUAUCAAAGUGAACCAAACCCAUGCAUGCGACACAUCAAACCACGGCAUUUUUGAUAACCUGAUGAGCGGAAGGCAGGAAAAUAGUCUCAGACCAUAUCUGAACCGGUAGUGUUCCCGAACCGGUUCUGGGCGUCCCGGUGGAAGUGGCCAAAUAUACAAUUGUACCAAACCCAUGCAAGCGACACAUCAAACCACGGCAUUUUAGAUGACCUGAUGGACAAUGAGCAGGAAAAUCAUCUCAGACCAUAUCUGAACCGGUAGUGUUCCGGAACCGGUUCUAGGCGUUCCACUGGAAGUGGUCAAAAAUACAAUUGAACCAAACCCAUGCAUGCGACACAUCAAACCACGGCAUUUUCGAUGACCUGAUGGACAAUGAGCAGGAAAACUAUCUCAGACCAUAUCUGAACCGGUAGUGUUCCGGAACCGGUUCUAGUCGUCCCGCUGGAAGUGGCCAAAUAUACAAUUGAACCAAACCCAUGCAUGCGGCACAUCAAACCACGGCAUUUUCGAUGACCUGAUGGAUAAUGAGCAGGAAAAUCAUCUCAGACCAUAUCUGAACCAGUAGUGUUCCGGAACCCGUUACGGGAUUCCUGCCGAAGUGGUUAAACCUUAAAGAGAAACAAACCCGUACAUGCGUCACAUCAAAUAGCGGCUUUUUAGAUUACCUAAUGAACGGCCAGCAAGUGUUUCGGAAUCGGUUUUGAGUGGCCGGAAGAGGCCAAAUGUAAAAGUAAACCAAUUCCAGGCAUGUGACACAUCGAAUCGCGGCUUUUGCGAUAACCUGAUGAACAGUUAGCUAGAACAUAGCCUUACGUCACACUAAAGACAACUGGUAGUGUUCCGGAAUUGGUUCCGAGAGUCCCGUCGAAAUUGUCAAACCCUGCAUGUGACACCUUCAAUUUGCAGCGUUUUUGGUUAACCGAUGAGCAGUUAACAAGACAAUAAUGUUAGACCAUAUUUGGCUCAGCCGGUAGUUACCCGGAAUCAGAUCCGGGUAGUAAUAUGUAAAAUUUAACCAAACCCAUGGAUGCGGUACAUCAAAUCACGACCAGUCUUGUAAACAUUCGACACUUUUUACUACCUUCAUUUCGUUGCCGCAGUCGGGUGUCAGUCGGCUUUGUUACAUUCGUGAGCUAUCGUUACCUCUUACCUACACACAACACGAGCAGUAGAACGAAGAUCAAUAAACAUAAGAAAGGGUCAAAUCAAUGUCAUCUGACACGAUGACAUGUGUCUAAUUCUAGCUUUACGCAUAGAUUUUCAGCCAAUUCCGAUUAUGAAUGUUAAUAUUAGUUUAUUAUUGCAUGUUGCAUUGAAUACGACACACAGAUGGGCAACAUAGCUCUUAUUAUGGAAGAAGACAGGAAUAACAAAAGCCGAACCGUCUCCCGAAGCCGCUAUCGUGGUGAAGUGCAUUCGUUUGACAUUUUCGUUUCGAACAGUAGUUUGAUUGCUUGUGUUGCGAAUGUCGGAGACAAAGGAGGCCGAAUAUCGACGAAAAGGUUCAAAUGACUGUGAUCUCUAACAAGACUGAUCACGACUUAUCGACAACCUGAUGGAAAAAUAGGGUCGGACCACAUUAGAUUCCCGGUAGUGUUGCGGGUUCAGCUGUGGCUUCGAAAGUGGUUAGAAGUAAAAGUGAAGCAAACAAAUUCAUGCGAUAUAUCAAAUCGCGGUGAUUAGGUAAAGGUGAAAAAAAGCAAUAAAUAUUCUCAGAUUGGGACAACCGGUAGUGUCAUGGUCCAUGACUCAUGGAAUCAGAUCCGGCUAUCCCAUCGGAAAUUACCAAAUAUAAAAAUGAACCAAACCCAUACAUACGACACAUCAGAUCGCAGAUUUUUUGAUAAUCUAAUGAACGGUUUGCAAGAAAAUAGCCUUAGAUCACAUUAGAGACUAGCUGUUGUGUAGCAGAACCAACGUUCAUGUGAAAAAUUAAGUCGUGGCUUUGUUUAAUGGCCUGAUAAACAAACAUUAGGUAUGAAAGACAGUGACAAAUAGUUCUAAGUUCUCAUAUAUGAGAACAAAAUAUAGACAAAACUAAAGCGAUCUCAUCAAAUCGUACCAUUUCAGAUUCCUAAGGUGUAAAUUUAUAGCAGGAUGGGUCAACGUUGAAUGGAAAAAUAAGAAUUUGAUCGCUGUUUUAAGGAAUUUUGAGCUCUAAAAUAAUGUAAAAUAAGUGUAUUUGGUAUGGAAAAUAUGUUCGGAGUCCACCAGAGUAUCCAAGAUAGCGGUCCAAAGUCCAAGAUAAUGGCCCAGUCAGAGGGGACGACACUAGUUUUUAAGCCGACUUUUUCAAUAAUAUCCGCAACAAUGUCAUCCCAACAUUAUUAAUUUGUUUUUACCCAACUAAUCCCUGCACAUCCCUAUUUAUCCGCUUUUAUCCUCAUCCAACCACAAAAAAGCCAAAAAAGUCGCUCUCUCUGGUUGUCAAAAUCUUUUUGCGACUUUUUCGUUUUUUGUUUGUUUAUGUAUUUUUUCUUCCAAUUUUUCUUCGAAGAGUUCAGUUCUACAAAAUCGAACUUGCGAAACCAGCGGUGAUUGUGGUAGGUGCUUGGGCGUUUGUGAGUUAAUCCGAAACAGUUACGGUGAACUGUUUGGAGCUGGCUGGAGGAAACAAGGGAUUAGGGAACCUUCUCCAAAGUGUACAACCAUUAUGUUCCUGGACAACUGCGAGCAAUUCCAGAAGAUCCGCUGCAAAAGUUCCUUUUCCCGGAGAUGUUCCGCGGCCCGGAGUGGGACGCGUCACAAAUCGAGAAUGCCUGCGUCAAAGCCAGCAAACGUCACUGCAGUUCCAGUCGCAAUGGCCAGAGCUGGGAGAGCCGCUGCCGUUGCCGGAUGCUGCUCGGUCAGGCGUGGUCCUGCAUUUUCAAAAUUCAAAGGGCGCCGAAGUUCCAAAAGAAGGUGAAGGCCAGCAAGGACCCCAUCAUUGUGGAGCUUUUUUGCGACGUGGUGCGGAUUAUGCCGGAUGGCGAGCAAAAAUUAAAGAUUAAGCUGGUCCUCCUUGGCCGAUCUGGCGCUGGACUACGAUGUGAUUUUAGUUCGUGUUGAUGGUGAUCCGUAAUAGGAAAGAUGAGCAGCGUCUGGCGGAACUACAGAAUGUGAAGCAAUGCCCGCUUCUUAUCAUUGAAAGUGCUCCUUGGCAGGAAGUGAGGCUCGUCGCAGGUCAAUAAGAACUGUCGCUUUCUUGAAGCCGGUCGAAUGGGUUCGAACUAGUAUAUGUACAUUUUUCUUGUGUUUUCAAAUGAAAAGAUAUUUAAUAAAUUAAUAUAAACAAAUCAAGAACUUUAGUUGUGCUUUUGUAUUCUAUUCAUGAGUUAUUUUUGUAUAUGGAGACACAAAACAAAUAGGUUUCUAAUUGCGAGUAAUUACUUUUCCAAUUAUACAGGUGUUUUGUACCAUGACAUGACGUUGUUCCUGGCCUCCAAAAGUGAACUGGAUAUAAUUCCUGCAUCACCAUGCAUUCUGGGGGACUUGGUGAACCUGAAUAGAACAAGAAUCUCAUGGAUAUCUACGGCCUCUGUUUUAAAAUUUCUGCAUCACCAUGCAAUCUGGGUGAACCUAAAUAGAACACCAAUCCUAUGGACAUCUAAGGCAAGGCCUCCAGAAUUGAACUGGUUUGAAAGUAUAAUUCCUGCAUCACCAUGCAAUUUGGGUGGACCUGAUGAACCUAAAUAGAACAUAAAUCCUUAUGGUCAUCCAGGCCAUCUAAGGCCUCCAGAAGUGAACUGGUUUGAAAGUAGGUAGGCAUCACCAUGCAAUUUGGGUGGACUUGGUGAACCUAAAUAGAACAUGAAUCCUUAUGGACAUCCAAGGGCUCUAGAAGUGAACUGGGUUAAAGUAUAAUUCCUACAUCACCAUGCAAUUUGGGUGGACUUGGUGAACCUAAAUAGAACAUGAAUCCUUAUGGACAUCUAAGGGCUCUAGAAGUGAACUGGUUUGAACGUAUAAUUCUUGCAUCACCAUGCAAUUUGGGUGGACUUGGUGAACCUAUAUAGAACAUGAAUCCUUAUGGACUUCUAAAGGCAAUAGAAGUGAACUGGUUUGAACGUAUAAUUCUUGCAUCACCAUGCAAUUUGGGUGGACUUGGUGAACCUAUAUAGAACAUGAAUCCUAUGGCCAUCUAAGGCCUCCAGAAUUGAACUUAUAAUUCCUGCAUCACCAUGCAAUUUGGGUGGACCUGAUGAACCUAAAUAGAACAUAAAUCCUUAUGGCCAUCCAGGCCAUCUAAGGCCUCCAGAAGUGAACUGGUUUGAAAGUAGGUAGGCAUCACCAUGCAAUUUGGGUGGACUUAGUGAACCUAAAUAGAACAUGAAUCCUUAUGGCCAUCUAAGGCCUCCAGAAGUGAACUGGGUUAAAGUAUAAUUCCUGCAUCACCAUGCAAUUUGGGUGGACUUGGUGAACCUAAAUAGAACAUGAAUCCUUAUGGACAUCUAAGGGCUAUAGAAGUGAACUGGUUUGAACGUAUAAUUCUUGCAUCACCAUGCAAUUUGGGUGGACUUGGUGAACCUAUAUAGAACAUGAAUCCUUAUGGACAUCUAAGGCCUCCAGAAGUGAACUGGGUUAAAGUAUAAUUCCUACAUCACCAUGCAAUUUGAGUGGACUUGGUGAACCUAAAUAGAACAUGAAUCCUUAUGGACAUCUAAGGCCUCCAGAAGUGAACUGGGUUAAAGUAUAAUUCCUACAUCACCAUGCAAUUUGGGUGGACUUGGUGAACCUAAAUAGAACAUGAAUCCUUAUGGACAUCUAAGGCCUCCAGAAGUGAACUGGGUUAAAGUAUAAUUCCUACAUCACCAUGCAAUUUGGGUGGACUUGGUGAACCUAAAUAGAACAUGAAUCCUUAUGGACAUCUAAGGGCUCUAGAAGUGAACUGGUUUGAACGUAUAAUUCUUGCAUCACCAUGCAAUUUGGGUGGACUUGGUGAACCUAUAUAGAACAUGAAUCCUUAUGGACAUCUAAGGCCUCCAGAAGUGAACUGGGUUAAAGUAUAAUUCCUACAUCACCAUGCAAUUUGGGUGGACUUGGUGAACCUAAAUAGAACAUGAAUCCUUAUGGCCAUCUAAGGCCUCCAGAAGUGAACUGGGUUAAAGUAUAAUUCCUGCAUCACCAUGCAAUUUGGGUGGACUUGGUGAACCUAAAUAGAACAUGAAUCCUUAUGGACUUCUAAAGGCUAUAGAAGUGAACUGGUUUGAACGUAUAAUUCUUGCAUCACCAUGCAAUUUGGGUGGACUUGGUGAACCUAAAUAGAACAUGAAUCCUUAUGGACUUCUAAAGGCUAUAGAAGUGAACUGGUUUGAACGUAUAAUUCUUGCAUCACCAUGCAAUUUGGGUGGACUUGGUGAACCUAUAUAGAACAUGAAUCCUAUGGCCAUCUAAGGCCUCCAGAAUUGAACUUAUAAUUCCUGCAUCACCAUGCAAUUUGGGUGGACUUAGUGAACCUAAAUAGAACAUGAAUCCUUAUGGCCAUCUAAGGCCUCCAGAAGUGAACUGGGUUAAAGUAUAAUUCCUGCAUCACCAUGCAAUUUGGGUGGACUUGGUGAACCUAAAUAGAACAUGAAUCCUUAUGGACAUCUAAGGCCUCCAGAAGUGAACUGGGUUAAAGUAUAAUUCCUGCAUCACCAUGCAAUUUGGGUGGACUUGGUGAACCUAUAUAGAACAUGAAUCCUAUGGCCAUCUUAGGCCUCCAGAAGUGAACUGGGUUGAAAGUAUGCAUCACCAUGCAAUUUGGGUAGACUUGGUGAACCUAAAUAGAACACGAAUGCUUAUGGACAUCUAAAGCCUCCACAAGUGAACCAGUUCCAAAAGUAUAAUUCGCUUGGGUUUAUUCGGAUGUUUUGCAGUUUCCUGCGAAACCACUCGCUG
Long non-coding RNA from Aedes albopictus (Asian tiger mosquito), 7442 nucleotides. RefSeq lists it as uncharacterized. NCBI's taxonomy places the organism in Eukaryota, Metazoa, Arthropoda, Insecta, Diptera, Culicidae. The transcript has 4 exons. The record is from RefSeq and is a predicted model, not a curated record.